RNAcentral lists this ribosomal RNA (449 nucleotides) under uncultured bacterium. Its description in RNAcentral is "partial 16S ribosomal RNA". It matches the Rfam family "Bacterial small subunit ribosomal RNA", at positions 29 to 523 of the family's 1533-position model. The record is from RNAcentral.
AACGAACGCUGGCGGCAUGCCUAACACAUGCAGGUCGAACGAGAUCUUCGGGUCUAGUGGCGCACGGGUGCGUAACGCGUGGGAAUCUGCCCUUCGGUUCGGAAUAACAGUUGGAAACGACUGCUAAUACCGGAUGAUGACGAAAGUCCAAAGAUUUAUCGCCAGAGGAUGAGCCCGCGUAGGAUUAGCUAGUUGGUGCGGGAAAGGCGCACCAAGGCGACGAUCCUUAGCUGGUCUGAGAGGAUGAUCAGCCACACUGGGACUGAGACACGGCCCAGACUCCUACGGGAGGCAGCAGUGGGGAAUAUUGGACAAUGGGCGAAAGCCUGAUCCAGCAAUGCCGCGUGAGUGAUGAAGGCCUUAGGGUUGUAAAGCUCUUUUACCCGGGAUGAUAAUGACAGUACCGGGAGAAUAAGCUCCGGCUAACUCCGUGCCAGCAGCCGCAGUAA